CCUACGGGGGGCAGCAGUGAGGAAUAUUGGUCAAUGGCCGUAAGGCUGAACCAGCCAAGUCGCGUGAAGGAAGAAGGAUCUAUGGUUUGUAAACUUCUUUUAUAGGGGAAUAAAGGUAUCCACGUGUGGAUGUUUGCAUGUACCCUAUGAAUAAGCAUCGGCUAACCCCGUGCCAGCAGCAGCGGUAAUACGGAGGGUGGGAGCUUUAUCCGGAUUUAUUGGGUUUAAAGGGUGCGUAGGUGGUUUUUUAAGUCAGCGGUGAAAGUUUGUGGCUAAACCAUAAAAUUGCCGUUGAAACUGGAAGACUUGAGUGUGUUUGAGGUAGGAGGAAUGCGUGGUGUAGCGGUGAAAUGCAUAGAUAUCACGCAGAACACCGAUUGCGAAGGCAGCUCACUAAGCCAUAACUGACACUGAAGCACGAAAGCGUGGGGAUCAAACAGGAUUAGAUACCCCUGUAGUC
RNAcentral lists this ribosomal RNA (460 nucleotides) under uncultured bacterium. RNAcentral's name for it is "partial 16S ribosomal RNA". It matches the Rfam family "Bacterial small subunit ribosomal RNA", at positions 338 to 795 of the family's 1533-position model. The record is from RNAcentral.